UAGCAUAUACUAGCGGAGAAAGAACAACGGGGAUUCCCAUAGUAACUGCGAGUGAAAGGGGAACAGCCCAGCGCCGAAUCCUGUUGCUGGUAACGGUAACUGGAACUGUGGCGUGAAGAAGGUGGUUAUUGACGUGGCUUGCCUGCGUAAGUUCUCCUGAGUGAGGCUCCAUCCCAUGGAGGGUGCAAGGCCCGUAUCGUGGGUAGUCUACGUUGAUAUACACUUUCGGAGAGUCGCCUUGUUUGCGAGUACAAGGUGAAGUCGGUGGUAAACUCCAUCGAAGGCUAAAUAUGACCACGAGUCCGAUAGCGAACAAGUACCGUGAGGGAAAAUUGAAAAGCACUUUGAAGAGAGAGCGAAACAGUGCGUGAAACCGUUCAGAGGCAAGCAGAUGGGGCCUCGAAGGCAGAGCAGCGAAUUCAGCUGGUAGUCUGUGUGGCUGGCUGGCUUUGUGAUCGUAAGACGCAAGUUGGUUAUGCUAGCGCAGCUGCUAGUGCACUUUCGCUGUUUGUACGCCACCGCCGUUGAGCGAGCAUCCGUCGUGUUGAACGUGUGAAGCCUUAUUCCUUUACGGGCGUAGGUGCUUACUGUCCGACUUGUACGCGCUUGCGCCUCAACCGGUCAUGUCAGCGUGUGCCAGCGUUAGCGUUGGGCUAGUAUGCUCUGUUGGUCGGUGUGAGAUGACGAACUUGUUCGGCUCUUCAUCGUCUAGUAGACUCGUUGCUAGUUUUCAACGUGGGCACAUGUAGAUUCGGUGGCGAGUAGACGGCUGCCCAUCUAACCCGUCUUGAA
This 792-nucleotide ribosomal RNA is filed under the name Minibiotus cf. intermedius DT270. RNAcentral's name for it is "partial large subunit ribosomal RNA". It matches the Rfam family "Eukaryotic large subunit ribosomal RNA", at positions 36 to 658 of the family's 3401-position model. The record is from RNAcentral. Lineage: Eukaryota; Metazoa; Tardigrada; Eutardigrada; Parachela; Macrobiotidae.